RNAcentral lists this ribosomal RNA (417 nucleotides) under Triticum aestivum (bread wheat). Its description in RNAcentral is "partial small subunit ribosomal RNA". Lineage: Eukaryota; Viridiplantae; Streptophyta; Magnoliopsida; Poales; Poaceae. The record is from RNAcentral.
AUGCAUAUGUUCUCAUUAAUUUGUCCAUAUACGAAUGCAUACUUUUCUUUGAUGCCUUAUAUACGCAUAUCUAUGAUGUUUUUUGGUGACUUGACUAACAUGAGAAACAUUAUCUUAGUGGACUUUACCUUUUUCUUGGUGAUUACAUUUGGUGGAAUACAUUGCCUUGGACUAUAUGUGAUUUUCAUUUCCUUGGCACUUACAUGUAGUGGAUCUCAAUGGCUAGCGUCUUUUCCAUCAAUUUUUGUAGAAUUACGUAACUCUAAUGGUCGUGACUGGUGUAGGUAUAGUUAUGAUAACCAUGGCUGUGAUUUGAUUAGGCACAUCUAUGAUGAUUCAUCGGUUUGUGAUCCACUAAUAACAAGAGGGCCGGCAUUUCAGUGGCCAUAUAUUUUUGUUUUUUGCGGGAUUCUCUAG